UACGGGGGGAGCAAGCGUUGUUCGGGUUUACUGGGCGUAAAGGGCGCGUAGGCGGCCACCGCAAGUCGACUGUGAAAUCUCCGGGCUUAACCCGGAAAGGUCAGCCGAAACUGCGGGGCUAGAGUGCAGAAGGGGCAACUGGAAUUCUCGGUGUAGCGGUGAAAUGCGUAGAUAUCGAGAGGAACACCUGCGGCGAAGGCGGGUUGCUGGGCUGACACUGACGCUGAAGCGCGAAAGCUAGGGGAGCGAACGGG
RNAcentral lists this ribosomal RNA (254 nucleotides) under uncultured bacterium. RNAcentral describes it as "partial 16S ribosomal RNA". It matches the Rfam family "Bacterial small subunit ribosomal RNA", at positions 524 to 776 of the family's 1533-position model. The record is from RNAcentral.